AGAGUUUGAUCCUGGCUCAGGAUGAACGCUGGCGGCAGGCUUAAUACAUGCAAGUUGAACGGUAACAUGUUGUAGCAAUACAAUGAUGACGAGUGGCGUACGGGUGCGUAACACGUGUGCAACCUACCUUAUACCGGAACAAAACGUCGAGAAAUUGGCGCUAAUAUUCCAUAACAUUGCUUUAAGACAUCUUUUUGCAAUUAAAAUCACGGUGGUAUAAGAUGGGCACGCGUUCCAUUAACUAGUUGGUAAGGUAACGGCUUACCAAGGCUACGAUGGAUAGGGGUUCUGAGAGGACAAUCCCCCAUACUGGAACUGAGACACGGUCCAGACUCCUACGGGAGGCAGCAGUAAGGAAUAUUGGGCAAUGGAGGCAACUCUGACCCAGCCAUGCCGCGUGCAGGAAGACGGCCCUACGGGUUGUAAACUGCUUUUAAUAGGGAGUAAUGUUAGUUACGUGUAACUAAUGCAAGUACCUAUAGAAUA
This 486-nucleotide ribosomal RNA is filed under the name uncultured bacterium. RNAcentral's name for it is "bacterial SSU rRNA". It matches the Rfam family "Bacterial small subunit ribosomal RNA", at positions 8 to 488 of the family's 1533-position model. The record is from RNAcentral.